CUGAUCCACUUCACUGGGAAUAUUGAGGAGAGGAUUCCCAAAGAGCUCUACUACUGUAUAAUUUGUCCUGUGGGGAAAACUGCAUUGAUUGUUGAAGAGACCAAAGGAAUUUUAAAUCAGAACUGGAGAAGGAACUGGCAAACCACUCCAGUCUCUUUGUCAAGAAAAUCCAAAUGGGGUCACCAAGAGUCAGCCACACCUGAAAUGACUAAACAACAAUAUUAUAGAGAAAGAAAAAAAGAUGUUCCUUAAUGCUCCAUACCAAAGAAGGUACACUCUCCUGAAUUAUUCUCCUUUUCUUUUUCUGAGACAGGACAUUAAAACAAACUGAAAAAUACUCUCUACUUUGAAAUCUAAAUUUUUCACUAAUAAAUAUGAUUAGUAUGAGUGAUCUCUGUUUAUA
This 403-nucleotide long non-coding RNA is filed under the name Monodelphis domestica (gray short-tailed opossum). RNAcentral's name for it is "lncRNA (ENSMODG00000049645.1)". The record is from RNAcentral. Lineage: Eukaryota; Metazoa; Chordata; Mammalia; Didelphimorphia; Didelphidae.